CAACUAGACAGCUGUGGUUCACCAAAACAAAAAUAUUUUACACAGCCUCCGCUUUCCAUCCCACUCCGAACAAGGCUGUAAACAGCUGUCCUCUCCCUGCAGUAACAUCACAAUCAGAAAAGCCGACAUACCCUGACUCCUUGCUCCAGCCUGAGCAGAGCUGACUAGAGAUCCAGCACCAAGAACUACAUCCCAACCAGAGAGGCCUCCUGCCCUUCAGAGGUCAUAAAAACACAGUUUGAAGCAUAACCUUUUAAGUUUUAUUCUCACUAAAAACUUCUGAACCUAUGUUAUCACAUAAUUUUUUUCUCUUUCAAAAACUCACUACUGUACCUUAGAUACUCGCUAGAGUCCUGGAGACCGCAUAAGCUACAGCGUUAGCAGGGAGUGGCAAGCUCAGGUGGCAUCACUGAAGAGCAGAUGGGAUCUUUGUACUUUACUACUAACCUCAGGGCCCUCACCGCCAGGCCGAUGCUGCCACAUUCCCAUUUCCAGUUGGAGCCUGUGUUUCAAACAAGAGUCAGCCUGCUGACUGCUGAGUGUGGAGUGGAGAAAGACUCGCUGGUGCUGAGGAAUUAGUGUAUGACAUUCCACACAUGCGGUCUCUGCUUUCUUACAUGCCUUUCUUAUGCAGACUAAUUAAAUCCCUCAAAACAGUCACUGUCCACUUAAGAAAUGUCACAGUGGGGGUUGGGCAUUUAGCUCAGUGGUAGAGGGCUUGCCUAGGAAGCGCAAGGCCCUGGGUUCAGUCCCCAGCUCCGAAAGAAAAGAAAAAAGAAAUGUCACAGUGGAAUCAGAAUCUAAUGGACAAGGUGGAGUGUGGAGAUUUUUGUGUUAAACUGAAGAGGCAUUCAUGAGUUGUUGGGUUCACCAUGUGCUAAUCAAAACUUAAGAUGAACAGACACCUAAUUGAGCUCAGGGCUAGGGUUCUAUUCAGUUCUGAUGGAGCCCAAAGCCAAAUGCCCUAUGUUCAGGGAAAGUGGAGAUCAUGUCAAGGCCACAAAGGGAAGAGUAAGCAGCGAAGAAUGGAUCAUUGGUCUUAGUUUCAUCCACAGCCAAGAACAGGCAGAAGGCAUUCCCUUUCUUUACUGCCUAUGGGAUGUUGGGGUAGACAGGAUGGCUUUCUGUGGUGAGUCCAACAGGCAAGGACCCGCCCUUGCCAGGAAUAAGCUUGCCUCACACAGCUGCCAAAGUCAGAACUCCUGACUGUGUGCAGGAGAAUCUGGGAAUGACUGCUUUCCUUGAACACCCUCCUCUUUGCAAUCAGGCUCCAGGCAAGUCAAAAGCCCCACACCUUGGUGCUGGUUCCUUACAAAAUACACCUCAGAUCCAGCAAGACCUCUACUUUAAACAGAAAUACCUGGGGUCCAGUUACAAUCCAAAGUUGUUGUAGUCACAGGACUUCCAUGGGCCAGGUCUUUGAGCAGUUUCUCAGCAUUGGCAUUGCUUUGUGGACUGAUGUGUGGUGCAAUGUACGAUCUUUUAUAACCUCCCUGGCUCUGAUCAGAUCCCAAGGCCAUGACAUAAAAAUAUCCCCAAAGAUUACCAGGUGUCUGGAGGACCAAGGUCAUUCUCACAUAAGCACUGAAUUCAGUCUAAACACAAGGCCCACGUCGGGGUUUCACAUGACUGUUAAAUGCCACCAAAUGGGGAAAAAAUAUGAGCAAAGCAUUCCUGACUUUGGUCUCUGAGCAGCUCACUCUUUAGCACAGGCUACAGAGCCAGAGAGAUAGGGGGCCUUGAGGUGGCAGCUUGCCCAAGCAGGAAGGGUCAGGUCAGCAACUGCAGAGAAGUGUAUUGCUAGUCUGACAACUGUGUGACUAAAGGUCAUGUUACUAACCAACUGCCUCUCACUCUGCUGUACAUUCGACAUGUCAGAAGGCCGGGAAAUGGUGUCGGAUAAAGAACAUGCCUAUCGUGUGGGAAACCUGCUACUUGUUCUCAUUAAAUAAAGUGCUAUGACAUACUAA
Molecule: long non-coding RNA, 1970 nt
Filed under: Rattus norvegicus (Norway rat)
Lineage: Eukaryota; Metazoa; Chordata; Mammalia; Rodentia; Muridae
Description: long non-coding RNA NONRATT029680
Source: RNAcentral